RNAcentral lists this ribosomal RNA (332 nucleotides) under uncultured bacterium. RNAcentral's name for it is "bacterial SSU rRNA". It matches the Rfam family "Bacterial small subunit ribosomal RNA", at positions 466 to 793 of the family's 1533-position model. The record is from RNAcentral.
CAUUUGACGUUAGCUGCAGAAGAAGCACCGGCUAACUCCGUGCCAGCAGCCGCGGUAAUACGGAGGGUGCGAGCGUUAAUCGGAAUUACGUGGGCGUAAAAGCGCAUGCAGGUGGUUUGUUAAGUCAGAUGUGAAAGCCCGGGGCUCAACCUCGGAAUUGCAUUUGAAACUGGCAAACUAGAGUACUGUAGAGGGGGGUAGAAUUUCAGGUGUAGCGGUGAAAAUGCGUAGAGAUCUGAAGGAAUACCGGUGGCGAAGGCGGCCCCCUCGGACAGAUACUGACACUCAGAUGCGAAAGCGUGGGGAGCAAACAGGAUUAGAUACCCUGGUAG